RNAcentral lists this ribosomal RNA (484 nucleotides) under uncultured bacterium. RNAcentral describes it as "partial 16S ribosomal RNA". It matches the Rfam family "Bacterial small subunit ribosomal RNA", at positions 30 to 507 of the family's 1533-position model. The record is from RNAcentral.
AUUGAACGCUGGCGGCAGGCCUAACACAUGCAAGUCGAGCGGAUGAAGGGAGCUUGCUCCUGGAUUCAGCGGCGGACGGGUGAGUAAUGCCUAGGAAUCUGCCUGGUAGUGGGGGAUAACGUCCUGAAACGGGCGCUAAUACCGCAUACGUCCUGAGGGAGAAGGUGGGGGAUCUUCGGACCUCACGCUAUCAGAUGAGCCUAGGUCGGAUUAGCUAGUUGGUGGGUUAAAGGCCUACCAAGGCGACGAUCCGUAACUGGUCUGAGAGGAUGAUCAGUCACACUGGAACUGAGACACGGUCCAGACUCCUACGGGAGGCAGCAGUGGGGAAUAUUGGACAAUGGGCGAAAGCCUGAUCCAGCCAUGCCGCGUGUGUGAAGAAGGUCUUCGGAUUGUAAAGCACGUUAAGUUGGGAGGAAGGGCAGUAAGUUAAUACCUUGCUGUUUUGACGUUACCAACAGAAUAAGCACCGGCUAACUUCGUG